CUGGGGCGGUCGCCUCCCAAAAGGUAACGGAGGCGCACAAAGGUUCCCUCAGAUCGGUCAGAAAUCGAUCGUAGAGUGUAAAGGCAAAAGGGAGCUUAACUGUGAGACAAACAAGUCGAGCAGAGACGAAAGUCGGUCUUAAUGAUCUGACGAUGCUGUGUGGAAAGGUCGUCACUCAACGGAUAAAAGUUACUCUAGGGAUAAC
RNAcentral lists this ribosomal RNA (205 nucleotides) under uncultured eukaryote. RNAcentral's name for it is "partial large subunit ribosomal RNA". It matches the Rfam family "Bacterial large subunit ribosomal RNA", at positions 2274 to 2478 of the family's 2925-position model. The record is from RNAcentral.